UACAGAGGGGCAAGCGUUAUUCGGAAUUAUUGGGCGUAAAGGCGCGUAGGCGGCCAUUCAAGUGACGGGUGAAAGCCCUCGGCUUAACCGAGGAACUGCCUGUCAGACUGGAUGGCUUGAGACCGGGAGAGGUGAGUGGAAUUCCCAGUGUAGCGGUGAAAUGCGUAGAUAUUGGGAGGAACACCAGUGGCGAAGGCGGCUCACUGGACCGGAACUGACGCUGAGGCGCGAAAGCGUGGGGAGCAAACAGG
Molecule: ribosomal RNA, 251 nt
Filed under: uncultured bacterium
Lineage: Bacteria
Description: partial 16S ribosomal RNA
Rfam family: Bacterial small subunit ribosomal RNA
Source: RNAcentral